UACGGGGGGGGCAAGCGUUGUUCGGAAUUACUGGGCGUAAAGGGCUCGUAGGUGGCCAACUAAGUCAGACGUGAAAUCCCUCAGCUUAACUGGGGAACUGCGUCUGAUACUGGAUGGCUUGAGUUUGGGAGAGGGAUGCGGAAUUCCAGGUGUAGCGGUGAAAUGCGUAGAUAUCGGGAGGAACAUCGAUGGCGAAGGCAAUCACCUGGGCCUGAACUGACACUGUGACACGAAAGCGUGGGUAGCAAACAGG
This 253-nucleotide ribosomal RNA is filed under the name uncultured prokaryote. RNAcentral describes it as "partial 16S ribosomal RNA". It matches the Rfam family "Bacterial small subunit ribosomal RNA", at positions 524 to 776 of the family's 1533-position model. The record is from RNAcentral.